GGAUAUAGCUUAGUGGUCAGAGUGUUGGACUCGUAAUUUGAGGGCCUGGGUUCGAAUCCUCUACUUUUAACU
This is a non-coding RNA of Rhamnusium bicolor, 72 nucleotides long. The record is from the annotation of a GenBank genome assembly. Lineage: Eukaryota; Metazoa; Arthropoda; Insecta; Coleoptera; Cerambycidae.